Nannospalax galili (Upper Galilee mountains blind mole rat) is the source of this 881-nucleotide RNA transcript. It is a transcript of the gene named DNA-(apurinic or apyrimidinic site) lyase-like, with no coding region annotated. NCBI's taxonomy places the organism in Eukaryota, Metazoa, Chordata, Mammalia, Rodentia, Spalacidae. The record is from RefSeq and is a predicted model, not a curated record. The transcript has 2 exons.
AUGCCAAAGCGUGGGAAAAAGGGAGUGGCGGCAGAAGACGGGGAAGAGCCCCAGCGGGAGCCAGAGACCAAGAAGAGUAAGGUGGGAGCAAAGAAAAGCGGGGAAGAGACGACAGGAGAGGGCGCGGUUCUGUAUGAGGACCCUCCAGCUCAGAAAACCUCGCCCAGUGGCAAAUCCGCUACAAUCAAGAUAUGCUCCUGGAAUGUGGACGGGCUUCGAGCCUGGAUUAAGAAGAAAGGUUUAGAUUGGGUGAAGGAAGAAGCCCCAGACAUCCUGUGCCUCCAAGAGACCAAAUGUUCAGAAAACAAACUACCAGCUGAACUUCAAGAGCUGCCUGGACUUUCUCAUCAGUACUGGUCAGCUCCCUCCGACAAAGGCUAGAGUAGUGUGGGUCUGCUUUCCUGCCAGUGCCCACUCAAAGUGUCCUAUGGCAUUGGUGAGGAAGAGCAUGAGUCAUUUGUGCUGAUUACAGCCUGUGUACCCAAUGCAGGCCGAGGUCUGGUGAGACUGGAGUACCGGCAACGCUGGGAUGAAGUCUUCAGAAAGUUUCUGAAGGGCUUGGCUUCCCGUAAGCUUCUUGUGCUAUGUGGGGACCUCAAUGUGGCUCAUGAAGAAAUUGAUCUUUGUAACCCCAAGGGAAACAAAAAGAACGCUGGCUUCACUCCCCAAGAGCGGCAAGGUUUCCGUGAAUUGCUGCAAGAGGUACCACUGGCCGAAAGCUUUCGGCACCUCUACCCCAACUCUGCCUAUGCUUACGCUUUUUGGACUUACGUGAUGAAUGCUAGGUCUAAGAAUGUCGGCUUGAUUACUUCCUGCUGUCCCACUCUCUCUUACCUGCCUUGUGUGACAGAAAGAUCUGUUCCAAGGCUCUUGGCAAGUGA